GAUGAAGAACGCAGCGAAAUGCGAUAAGUAAUGUGAAUUGCAGAAUUCAGUGAAUCAUCGAGUCUUUGAACGCACAUUGCGCCCCCUGGUAUUCCGGGGGGCAUGCCUGUCCGAGCGUCAUUGCUGCCCUCAAGCACGGCUUGUGUGUUGGGCCCCCGUCCCCGGUUCUCCCCGGGGACGGGCCCGAAAGGCAGCGGCGGCACCGCGUCCGAUUCUCGAGCGUAUGGGGCUUUGUCACCCGCUCUGUAGGCCCGGCCGGCGCCAGCCGACACCCCAACUUUAUUUUCUAAGGUUGACCUCGGAUCAGGUAGGGAUACCCGCUGAACUUAAGCAUAUCAAUAAGCGGAGGA
This 350-nucleotide unclassified non-coding RNA is filed under the name soil metagenome. RNAcentral describes it as "partial contains 5.8S ribosomal RNA, internal transcribed spacer 2, and large subunit ribosomal RNA". The stretch from base 1 to 120 matches the Rfam family "5.8S ribosomal RNA", at positions 35 to 154 of the family's 154-position model. The record is from RNAcentral.